UUAUUUAUUUAUAAUAAAAGAUGCUAACUAAACCUCUAAUAACAUGUUAUGUGCAGUAUUUAUGAAACAAAGUUUAAGAACAUAUUAAGAACAUCUUCAGGCUGAUUUCUCACUAAUCACCCGAUAAAUAAGAACUAGAACUUAUAUGCAGGUGUUUGCUGCAGUUCUAAGCAGUACAUGUAGGUGUCUUAGGCUUCCAUGACAGACAGGUAUGAAGGAAGAUGAGUAGGUUCCUGUGCAUAAUGGUUCUUGGCAGCUAAAGCUAUUGGGUUAGUUAGAUAAUUCUAUGGGUAAGACAGGUAACCUUUUAUCUUAGUUUGUUCAGUUAUGCUCUCCAUAUUGUUUUUUCCUGUAACUGAUAUUUGACAAUGUAAUCCAUCUCAACAGGUUCUGGAACCUUCUUGUGUUUUAUCCGUUAUGCAUUCAUUUGAUUGUCAUUCCGGAGAAGUAGCAUCGGUUAGCAGCAGAGGCUCUGUGUUAGCCUCAUGUUCCAGUGAUCUCAGUGUUGGAAUAUGGAGACCCAAGAGCAUGCGACCAGGGUCGGCCUGAGAAUAUAACGUUGAUAUAUGACUUAUAACACGACUGCAACGUACAUUUAUCCAUUCGUCUGUAAAUAGCUAAAAAUGACUCAAGUAGUCAAUUUUCCGUUGGUAGCCAUUUGUGUCUGUUAUUGAAGGAAAAUAUUUCCAUGUUUUUACUCCCAAGAGGAGACAGGACAGGCACCUGGAAUGCUAGGAUGUCAAGUCUUGCUAGUCUUCAAAUACUGUUCUUUAUGUUAAAAAAAACUAUGUAUCUGUAUAACGCUAUUAAAGUUCUCUUAUGAAAGUUGAAAACCAUUUCGAUAAUCCCCCUACCACCCAGAAAAAAUGAGCCCCCGCCCCCCGCCCCCAUCUCCAAGCCUCAUUCGCUAAGACGCCCUCCCGAGUACAAUCUCUCCAUCCUGCCUAUGGUACGAAUAGAGAGUAUUAGGGCAGUAUGAGCGCUACAUGUAAAGAUUCGUACAGUAUACGUUACUUUUGGAUGAAAUGUGUUAUGAAGUGUUUAGAGCUCGAAACAAGCAAGUAGCGCGUAGCUUCGUCUGACAGCUUAAAAUAUGCCCAUUUAUAAAAAUCCAGUAUGACUGUGCCUUCGGCAUGUUCUUUAAGCGUUUGACCAGAAAAUGUACGCCUUAGACGAAUUGCGUUAUACGCUUAUCAGUAAGAGUAUCAGGCCUCCAUAGCAACUGUGAAAAGGGAACAACAACCAUGAACAGCUACUUCUCUCGAAAAGAUAAGUGCCACUUCACUACUUAGAAAAAUCUCUGGGCAAACCUUGUGGGGUACAGACAUGGCUAGAAAGUCUCGGCGUAAGCUGUUCCUGAAGGUGUCUGGUCGUUUAGCCCCCAACCAGAAGUCGAAAACACUGUCUAUUUCUCGUUCUUUAAAAUUAUUCUUUGGAGGGACAGGUGGAAAAAUUUUAAUCUUACGGCGAACAUUAUACCUCAAUUUUCUCCUGAAUUUGUACAAUGUUAAGAAGAAAACAAUUGGCAUCCUUAGUGGGGUACUAACAAACCUUUAGAAGUAAAUCAAGUGUCCGUACGAACUGAAAGUUCAAAAUUUUCGCGUUGUCUCCUGGCUCGUCAGGCGCCCCAAGGUUAGCCUGCGAACGCAGACUUAUUUCUGGCUGCGUUUCUCGAAGAAAUAUACCAUUUUCAGAGGGUUUUCUUUUCAGAGACAUUGAAAACUUCGUUAAAUUUAGGUAUUAGUUCUUCUGACCAAUGCGCACUCUUCUACCAUCGAACGCAUGUCUAAGCUCCUUUAAACCUGGGAACGAGUCUACUAUGGCCAAUAAAAACUUGCGUUACUUCCAGCGUCUCGAGUUACGUUCUGUGUAAACUACUGUAAGUGAGUCUUGUGAUGUCUCAGAGCUGGGAUUAAAGUCUUUUUCCUCAACGACAAAGAUCUGUCUCUCUUCUUUAGAGAAGUUGUUUUGAGGGCAAACCUGACCAGCCAUGUUGAACAAGGUUGUGUUGACUUGUGCAGUAAUUCUGAUCCUCCAGUUUAUAUCAACAGGCACAGCUGCUCCAUGUGACCCCAAAUGCACAGGAGGCCAGGGAUCAUGUCAGAGUAAUGGACGCUGUCUUUGUUGGUGGGGCUGGACUGGGCCUCAUGCAGCAUACAUCACAUCAGGGGUGCACAAAAACAGAAUACUGGCUGACAGAUGUGAUAAGGCCUGUCAUUAU
Molecule: long non-coding RNA, 2221 nt
Filed under: Orbicella faveolata
Lineage: Eukaryota; Metazoa; Cnidaria; Anthozoa; Scleractinia; Merulinidae
Description: uncharacterized LOC110063181
Source: RNAcentral